CUUGGGAUAAUUUAUAACUUUUUAUCUAAAUCUCUAUUUUCAAAUUUUUAUUUUUUAUUUUUAACUUCCUUAAUAUUCAUAUAUUAUUCUAUUUCUCUAUUUCGUGUCUAAUAGUCAAGAUUAAUUAUGACAUCCAGCACCUAAGAUAAAUGUUCGCAUUAUAUACUUUCCCAUAUUUAAAUCUAAACUUGAAUUAUCCUUUUAAACCUUAUAGAUACGUUUUGUUAUCCAUUUAUCUAGUCCUUAUUUUAGCUAUUUCCUUGGUGUUAAUCGUAUUGAACGCGCUGUAACCUAUAUCUUUAUCUUGUGAUUUGAGCACGAAGAGUUUUAUCGUGUUGGGAAAUCUUUAUCUUGUGAUUUGAGCAAGAAGUUUAUUGGGUUGGGAAACAUGAGAAGUAACUAUAUAAAGAGGUGUCUUCUUCAAAGAGUAGAUCGAUGUUUGUUUUUGCUGAAUGCCGAGAGAAAGAUUGAGGAAGAGCUAGAGAGAGAGAGAGGAGAGUUUCUGGUUAGAGAGAGAGAGAGAAAGAAGAAGAUUGAGGAAGAGCUAAAGAGAGAGAG
Molecule: long non-coding RNA, 558 nt
Filed under: Amborella trichopoda
Lineage: Eukaryota; Viridiplantae; Streptophyta; Magnoliopsida; Amborellales; Amborellaceae
Description: long non-coding RNA (ATRI_LNC003460)
Source: RNAcentral